This is a long non-coding RNA of Galleria mellonella (greater wax moth), 689 nucleotides long. RefSeq lists it as uncharacterized. NCBI's taxonomy places the organism in Eukaryota, Metazoa, Arthropoda, Insecta, Lepidoptera, Pyralidae. The transcript has 3 exons. The record is from RefSeq and is a predicted model, not a curated record.
UCGGUGAGUGUUGUUAAUGAAUAUACAUGUUUAUCUUUGUGCUGCAAUUUAGAGAAUUUGGAAGAUUUGUUGAUCUUGGUAAAAUUUAUUAGCAUCUUUUAAGCGCACGUUUCAUUUGUGUAAUUGGAAAUUUUUUUUUCUAUAAAGAAGCACGAGGAGGAAAAUGACAUUAGACUCUCUCUUUCACACUAAUUUGUCAUUUAGACGUACUUUGUUAUUUUUAGGGGUGUGGUGUUUUUACGUCGUUCGCUUUGUGAUUAAUGGCAAAACGUAGUGUAAAUCAAUACGAGUAUGAGACCGGAUUUUUAUCCGGCGAAGGAAUUUUGUGUAAAAAUAAUCGAAAAUGGAAACCCUGCUUUCCAUCGUGGCGGUAGUAACUAACUAUCAGGUGAACGAGGUCAUACUUGUAUGUUUAUAUACUUUCAUAUUGCAACAUGCAUUAUUUUAAUAUAUUUUUUUUAAACACAAAACAUGCUGUGGUCGCCUAUAAAUGUAACAACAGUUGGCCGUAAUCCACUAGUGUAUUCUAUCGAAAUGUUUCUAAAUAUUAUAUAUAAAUAAAUAAAUACACAAUCCAAUUCAGAUGAAUUUAUUACGAACAAUUGCAAUUUUUGUAACACUGCAACACCUGCAAGAGAUUUGCAUAUGAGUUUAGACUAAAUAUAAUUUUAUAUUUAACUAACCACGAA